Molecule: unclassified non-coding RNA, 342 nt
Filed under: soil metagenome
Description: partial contains 5.8S ribosomal RNA, internal transcribed spacer 2, and large subunit ribosomal RNA
Rfam family: 5.8S ribosomal RNA (bases 1-120)
Source: RNAcentral
GAUGAAGAACGCAGCGAAAUGCGAUAAGUAAUGUGAAUUGCAGAAUUCAGUGAAUCAUCGAAUCUUUGAACGCACAUUGCGCCCGCCAGCACUCUGGCGGGCAUGCCUGUUCGAGCGUCAUUUCAACCAUCAAGCCUCCAGGGGCUUGUGCUGGGGCCCUGCGGCUGCCCGCAGGCCCUGAAAACCAGUGGCGGGCUCGCUAGUCACACCGAGCGCAGUAGCACAUCUCGCUCAGGGCGUGCGGCGGGCUCCUGCCGUGAAACCCCCCACUGUAACCCCAAAGGUUGACCUCGGAUCAGGUAGGAAUACCCGCUGAACUUAAGCAUAUCAAUAAGCGGAGGA